AGGACGAACGCUGGCGGCGUGCUUAACACAUGCAAGUCGAACGGAGUUGUCGGAGCUUGCUCUGGCAACUGAGUGGCGAACGGGUGAGUAACACGUGAGGAACCUGUCCUGGUCUCUGGGAUAACAGCCGGAAACGGCUGCUAAUACCGGAUGCCGUCGGAGCGUCGCAUGGCGCGCUGACGAAAGGGUUCUGGAU
Molecule: ribosomal RNA, 196 nt
Filed under: uncultured soil bacterium
Lineage: Bacteria
Description: partial 16S ribosomal RNA
Rfam family: Bacterial small subunit ribosomal RNA
Source: RNAcentral